Molecule: long non-coding RNA, 794 nt
Filed under: Capsicum annuum
Lineage: Eukaryota; Viridiplantae; Streptophyta; Magnoliopsida; Solanales; Solanaceae
Description: long non-coding RNA (CANN_LNC017554)
Source: RNAcentral
UAAGUUGUGCUCAAGCUCAGAGAGUGCUCAAAUAAGGAGUGUUGAUAAAGAAAGCAACAAGCGAGACAUAAGACAGCAACAACGAGAAUUGCUAGAGGUGAGUGCAAGAAAUAUUAAGUGUAAGAAUUGUAAGACUGAUGUGGAUCUUUACUUUGCUCUAAUAAAGUUCAAGUUAUGACCAACCAAUUGUGUGGCAUCAACAAUUCUCAACAUAAAAGGUAUCAAAGAAUUACGUCAUCGGGUCUUCCUAGAGGCUCAAAAUUGUUCCAUGUUUUGAAAAGCCUUUCACUGACCUGAUAUUAAUGGAAUGAUAUUCUAUGUAUGAAUAACUUAUUAGAAACCAUAUACAACAUGUGAAACAACCGGGCACACCCAAUAAAAAGAAAAGAGUAUCCACAGGUAGAGCAUUGCAUGUUUUCAAAGUUAAAACUUUCUACAUAAAAAUCAGAACUUAGUACAAUAAAUUGUUACAAAAACGAAAAAAAUGGAUAUUCAUGACUCAUGAACAGAAGUGGAAAUAACACACACCUAAGGAACGUCUAUACCAUUUUCACUAAUCGUACUUAUAACCUCAUUACUAUAGAGAUCACCCAAAUUUGAUGUUUCGUUCUGAGCAGCAGAAAAACUGGCAUCAACAUGACUGAAAUCAUUGAUUUGCUCGUCAAUGUGGAUGGUACAGUUCUCUUCCAGAUCAUUUUGAAUGACAGACUCUUGGAGAUGAAGUGCAUAUUCCAAAUUCCACAGCACAUCAGCCAUUAAUGGCUUAUCUCUGUCUACACCAUCAUCAGCUAAGC